UGCAAGUCGAGCGAUGAAAUUCCCUUCGGGGAAUGGAUUAGCGGCGGACGGGUGAGUAACACGUGGGUAACCUGCCCUAAAGAGGGGGAUAGCCUUCCGAAAGGAAGAUUAAUACCGCAUAACAUUAAGAUAUCGCAUGAUAUUUUAAUCAAAGGAGCAAUCCGCUUUAGGAUGGACCCGCGGCGCAUUAGUUAGUUGGUGAGGUAACGGCUCACCAAGGCAACGAUGCGUAGCCGACCUGAGAGGGUGAUCGGCCACAUUGGGACUGAGACACGGCCCAGACUCCUACGGGAGGCAGCAGUGGGGAAUAUUGCGCAAUGGGGGAAACCCUGACGCAGCAACGCCGCGUGAGUGAUGAAGGUCUUCGGAUUGUAAAGCUCUGUCUUUUGGGACGAUAAUGACGGUACCAAAGGAGGAAGCCACGGCUAACUACGUGCCAGCAGCCGCGGUAAUACGUAGGUGGCAAGCGUUGUCCGGAUUUACUGGGCGUAAAGAGUGCGUAGGCGGACAUUUAAGUCAGAUGUGAAAUACCCGGGCUCAACUUGGGUGCUGCAUCUGAUACUGGAUGUCUAGAGUGCAGGAGAGGAAAGUGGAAUUCCUAGUGUAGCGGUGAAAUGCGUAGAGAUUAGGAAGAACACCAGUGGCGAAGGCGACUUUCUGGACUGUAACUGACGCUGAGGCACGAAAGCGUGG
Molecule: ribosomal RNA, 693 nt
Filed under: uncultured Clostridia bacterium
Lineage: Bacteria; Bacillati; Bacillota; Clostridia
Description: bacterial SSU rRNA
Rfam family: Bacterial small subunit ribosomal RNA
Source: RNAcentral